This is a long non-coding RNA of Alexandromys fortis (reed vole), 2049 nucleotides long. RefSeq lists it as uncharacterized. The record is from RefSeq and is a predicted model, not a curated record. The transcript has 3 exons. Lineage: Eukaryota; Metazoa; Chordata; Mammalia; Rodentia; Cricetidae.
UCCAAAUCUGACUCCCAAUGUCCAGUGUCACCUCUAGUCCUUGCCAAGACAGCUGAGUCCCCUGGAGUAGGGAUGGGGCUACUGUAGAAUGGCCUAAUGGUCCAGGCUUCUUGCAGCCUCUGCCCACCUUGUGGCCUCCACAUUUUACUGGUUUGACUUGGAGCCUCAAACUCACAUCUUCCAUUAUUCUGCGGGGAACAGUACUCCUGUCCAUGGCUCCUUGGCCAGCUCUCCUUCCCACCAUCUUGCCCAGAUCAUCUUCUACCCAAUGUCUUUUCUUUCAAACUCUCGAAAUCAAUUUUUUUCCUACCUCAGAGAUUUGACUGUUGCUUCUAUUCCUUUCCAUAAAAAGUGCAUUCACCAGUGGAUGCCUGGGUGGCUGGAAAGGUGUGCAAGCAAAUAGGUUGGUGUGCAAGCGAAUAGGUAAGUGUGCAAGUGAAUAGGUGGGCGAGAACCAUAAGAUGGGGGAAUCAUGGAUGGUUAGACAGGUGGGUAAAUUAAACAGAUAUGUGAUUGAGGGAGUGGCUAGGUAGGGGGAUGCAUAGAUGGAUGGACCUGUGAUUCAUGGGUAGACAAAUAGGAAGGGGUGUAUAGAUGGAUAGAUGAGUAGAUGAGACAGACGGAUGCAUGAGGAGAUGGAAGGGAUGGAAAAGGGGUGGACAGAGGAAUGAUACAUGAGAUGGAUGGAUGGACAGAGGGAUAGAAGUGAAUGGAUGAACAGUUGGAUGGAAGGAUAGAUGGGAUGGGGCACAGGUGUGUGGUUAGAUGGAUGAUGGACGAUGGAUGGAGAAGAUGGAUGGAUGAGGUAGUUAGGUGGAUGGACCAGACUGCAGACUGGUGUGUAGGGCGCUGUUUUACAGAAGGAAAAACACAAGAUCAGUUCUUCUGAGACUCACAAGCCAAGGGGGAUGGAAAGAUGGGGGACAGGCUGUUGAGUUCAUCGGACUUCUAGGAUUAUGCCAGAGCAACCCCCAUCCCCUGUCCUAACACAAGGGGCCUGAAAUAGACCCCUCACUGAGCCCCUGCCCAGGGUCUUGGGUCCUGUGGUUACUGGUGUAGAUAGGUAAUUACUCAGGCCCACGUGGCUCUCCCCUGAUUCCUUCUGUGGCCAAGCCCUCCCUUCCUACAAGUGCUUCACAUGUGUCCUCUGUGGAGGACAGUGUCUUCUGUGUCUCUAGUUGUCAGAUGCAGAAACUGAAGUUCAGCCCUAGGAAGUAACAGAUCUGGGAUCAAGUCCCCAUCUUCAGGCUUGUCCGUCUCUUGUCUCUGUUUGCCAGAGGAAGAGUCUGCCGUUCAGAGUGGCUCAAACCACAGUGCCUAGCAAAGCUGCCCAGCCCUAAGGCCACUGGAAUUGACAGGAGCAUCAAAGGCCCUGGGGCCCCCGGACAACUCGGCUGGGACGUGAGUUCAGAAAGCACUAGCGAGGAGCCUGACGCCAGCAGGUUUCUUGAGUAAAGCAACUCUGCUCUGGAGGGAAUUCCCAGUGCUGAGCAUGACGGAUCCCGUGUGUGGCGCCCCUUGGCUAGUCAGGACUUGAGAUGAGACAAAUGUAAAAGAUUCUUAAAUUGCUAUGAAACCCCAGAGGUUCACCUGAAGAAGAGGAAGCACACAGAAAUGGGGUUGCUUAAGUGAUAAAAAAGCAAAACCCUCUUUAAAGAAGAAAACAGAGGAGUCACGCUAUUCUGUGUUUGCAGAGUGUGGACGGCGCCUUCACCCCCCUCGCCAUGCCUCAAUGAAGGGUGGACUAUUGAGGGGGGACCUAAAAGCAAGCCAUUUAUUCACUUAACCAGCACUCCUGGACACGGAGAGAAGAGGCAACUGGGGUGCGCCUUGGGAGGUAGAGAUGGCAACACAGCCAUCCUGCCUUUACGAGCUGCUGGUCAGGCAAGAUGAGGCUCUUGUCAACCCCAGAGUGGCCCUGCUGAGGGGAACUCAGAGCCCAUGAGUCAGCGGCCGUGUUUCUAAGAACAAUAGUGCUCUUUUGAUAAACAUUUGUUCAACCAGCAAACUUCUGGACAUUCAACAAACAUUAAACAUUUGUUUGCCCGA